Unclassified non-coding RNA from Papio anubis (olive baboon), 147 nucleotides. It matches the Rfam family "Metazoan signal recognition particle RNA". Rfam says of the family: The signal recognition particle (SRP) is a universally conserved ribonucleoprotein. It is involved in the co-translational targeting of proteins to membranes. Lineage: Eukaryota; Metazoa; Chordata; Mammalia; Primates; Cercopithecidae. The record is from Ensembl.
GCCAGGUGUGGUGGUGCACACUUCUAGUCCCAGCUGUUUAGGAGGCUGAGGUGGGAGGAUCACUUGAGCCCAGGAGUUUUAGGCUGCAGUGAGCUAUAAUUAUGCCACUGCACACCAACCUGGGCAACAGAGUGAGACCUGCCUCAA